RNAcentral lists this long non-coding RNA (2768 nucleotides) under Mus musculus (house mouse). RNAcentral's name for it is "long non-coding RNA chr3:102769440-102772208". The record is from RNAcentral. Lineage: Eukaryota; Metazoa; Chordata; Mammalia; Rodentia; Muridae.
GUAAACCACAGUUUUAGAACUAAACACAUCUGUAAAAGUAAAUAUAGCAUGGAAAAAUCUAAUUCAAAAAAGUCAUGUUUUCUUAGCAUUUAAAAACAGAAAGCCUCUCUCUGGAAAGAGAAGUCACGCAGACAGACAAGCAUGUGCCCCAGAAAAGUGAGUGCUUUAAAGACUAAAACUAACAACUUUGAAGGGGGAGAAACACUGCUAUAGGAUGACAUGCAAACGUUGUUUUCUCCCUCUUCUCUGCCAACUCUGCUUUGAACUAGUGAAGGCCUCGCCUUCCCACAAGGCCUUUCCUUCACCCUCCUUACUGUUUUUUUCAGAUGUGGUGACAGAGGAAAGCAGGCACUGUGCAGCGUGACAGUGGGGGACUCUGGCUGGCACUGUCUGUACCUCUGGAAUACCUCAUGACUUGAGUUUACAUACUUUCCUAAUAUUUUUCCAUUUUUCUUAUUUAUCUGUGCAGAGAAUUCUUUAUAGAUUAAGAACAUAGUUUUAUUCUUUAAAAUAAAUAAAUCGCCCCAUAACUCAGAUAUUAUGUUAUGAGUACCCUGUCUAAACCAAUAUAAACACCUUCUUCAAUAUGUAUGCACACAACAAAGGCAAGUUAAUGGAUCAAAAGUACUUUCGUGCAUACAGCUGCAGCACAACUAUAUUCUUUCUCAGCGAACCCCUGUGGGGAUGAAUAGAUGCUCAGGUUCUUUGGGAGCCUGAGUGAUUGAUUUUAAGUGGGGAAACCCAGGCACUGCUCGGCCUUUUGGCAGCAAGUGGGAAACCCCACAGCAGGGUCGAAAUUGAUGUAUUUGUCAUAAUGGAACAGCGUAUAAAGGAGUCUUAGGAUUAUAUUGACCACAUAAAAGUGAAGGCAUGAGGAAUUCUGGAAACCGUCAGGCUAGCUUCUAUGUCCGCUAAGAACCUAAGACUUUGGUAUGUGCUAGAACAAAGUGCCAUGCUUCAGGAAACUUUUACCAAGUGUUUUGCUGAGGACACACAACUCCUGGGAUGUCUCACCCACAGAGCGCCACCUCUCUCUUUUUCAGAUAUUCUUGCUACUGCUACUAGCUUUGGAGAAAAAAACUGAGGGAGUUAAAAGUAUAACUGUGUAUGACUACUUUACCUAUGUAUGCAAAAGUAUUUAAAAAAAAUCACUCUGUGAUGUUUAUACCCCAGUGGUUGACAAAUGCCAGCUUUUUAAGCAAACAAAGAGUGAUCAGUCCUUCUUAUAGCUUUAGUUUAUCUGUCUUCCUGAAGACAGAGAACAGGCUCAAGUGUGUACUCAGGUUCCUCCAGCUCAGAGUUAUUUCCCGUUCCUCAGAAGUGAGUUUCAUUCCCUGGGUGAGUGAAUAAGUUUAAGGAAAACCACAGUAACUAUAGACAGAAGAGUAAAAUAAUUUUUUAAUGCAGAAGAAUAAGUCUAGAAACCCAUGUCCUGUGUGAUUACCUCUCUGAGGGUGAAGCUUUCCAAAGAAUGUGCUGGGUAAAAUUAGAGAAUUCCAUCUUUGAGUAAAGAUGGAUAUAUAUCUUUAUGUGAAUGGAUAAAGCUAUAUCUAUAGAGAUAUAUAACCCCUAUGUCCUGAACUUAUACAUAUCUUAAAUACAUAUCUCUUAAGGCUAAAGAGAUAUGUAAUUUAAUACAUGUGUACCCGUUUGAAACUAUGGAGAUAAAUGUUUGUAUACAUACACAUGUACAUGUAUAUACAUUUACAGUUAUUUCUGUUUACCUGAACUAAUUUGAGAUCAGACCCAAACAUUUUAAGUUAUUUUAAAUUAAAUUUUCUAUGUACUUACACUGCUUGAGUUAUCUUAAAAUCUUAGUGUAUCUUCUUAACAAGUUCACAUUUUCUUAUUUAAAUGUGUUACCUACCAAUUUACCCAAACAGUAUAGUAAAAACAAACUGGUAAUCCUUUCAUGCUGUUGUUGUGCAGUGGGUUCAAAAGCAACACCCCUAGGGUUCUAAUUACAUAUAGUUGCGUUUCAGCUAACACCAGUUCACCCAAAUUGUUUCUCCUUCCUCCAGAAAAACUUGGUUACCUAUGGCUUAGCCUUUCGAGUUAAUCCUGGGUCCAGUGUGGUUCUCCUGUACCAACAGCCAUCGUUUCCCUCUGAGGAAUCUAACCGAUGUAGCUGGGUGAGAAUGAGACCCAGAGAAAGAUGAUAAUAAUCUCAAUAAUAAUCAAUAAAGAAGAUAGCAUGUUCUCCCUUCUGAAAUAAGUUUUCUGAAUAUUCAAAGGGUAUUUGCUCUCUUGUCAUAGGUGAAGGUGGUUUCUAUGGCCCAGAGGCAAGCCACUAGUACUCCCCACAGCCCAGCUUUCAAGGCCCCACUGGCAUGCUCUUGAACACCAAGCCCGUUUCCCCACACCCAGGAAAGAGCAAUUUAUGUCUCUUGAGGGUAGAACCAGCGUAAGCUCAUCUGAAUCAAGUUGGUUUUUGUGUGGAUUUUAAAGACUAAAGAUUUCCUACUUUCUUUAAAUAUCCUCCCCCCCCUUUUUUUUUACUAUAAAAGGUAUUUUGUAUAUAGAUGUCUUUUAAAAGUGAAAAUACUACAGCAAUACAAAAUGUUAUUGUUUGGUGUCCUUAUAACAAGCAAGGGAUUCACAGUUCAGACGCUGCCCCCUGGAAACAGGGAAGACACAGCAAGUACAAGUAACAUGCCCUGUGCUUCCCAGAGCUUGGCUGCAGAAAUGUGGAGUUAAUACAACAGGAACCUUUUUGUGUGUUUUGUGGUGUUUAUCCUGUAUAUUUUGUGAUUUCUUUUACUCCUAUU